GACGAACGCUGGUGGCGUGCUUAACACAUGCAAGUCGAACGGAAAGGCCCUGCUUUUGUGGGGUGCUCGAGUGGCGAACGGGUGAGUAACACGUGAGUAACCUGCCCUUGACUUUGGGAUAACUUCAGGAAACUGGGGCUAAUACCGGAUAGGAGCUCCUGCUGCAUGGUGGGGGUUGGAAAGUUUCGGCGGUUGGGGAUGGACUCGCGGCUUAUCAGCUUGUUGGUGGGGUAGUGGCUUACCAAGGCUUUGACGGGUAGCCGGCCUGAGAGGGUGACCGGCCACAUUGGGCCUGAGAUACGGCCCAGACUCCUACGGGAGGCAGCAGCGGGGAAUAUUGCACAAUGGGCGGAAGCCUGAUGCAGCAACGCCGCGUGCGGGAUGACGGCCUUCGGGUUGUAAACCGCUUUCGCCUGUGACGAAGCGUGAGUGACGGUAAUGGGUAAAGAAGCACCGGCUAACUACGUG
RNAcentral lists this ribosomal RNA (468 nucleotides) under uncultured bacterium. Its description in RNAcentral is "partial 16S ribosomal RNA". It matches the Rfam family "Bacterial small subunit ribosomal RNA", at positions 28 to 507 of the family's 1533-position model. The record is from RNAcentral.